GAGGGUAUAGCUCGCUGGUAGAGUGUGCAUUUAGCAUGCACAAGGUCCUGGGUUCAAUCCCCAGCACCUCCA
Molecule: transfer RNA, 72 nt
Organism: Camelus ferus (Wild Bactrian camel)
Lineage: Eukaryota; Metazoa; Chordata; Mammalia; Artiodactyla; Camelidae
Rfam family: tRNA
About the family: Transfer RNA (tRNA) molecules are approximately 80 nucleotides in length. Their secondary structure includes four short double-helical elements and three loops (D, anti-codon, and T loops).
Source: Rfam